This is a small nucleolar RNA of Lactuca sativa (garden lettuce), 107 nucleotides long. Lineage: Eukaryota; Viridiplantae; Streptophyta; Magnoliopsida; Asterales; Asteraceae. The record is from RefSeq and is a predicted model, not a curated record.
AAGUCAUGUUGAGGAUAAUUUCUCAAAAGGCCUUUAUAUCCCUCCCAAGCUCCAUACAAGGAUCCUCCAUCUUCUUGUUGAAAAUUGGCAACCUUUUUCUUGAGUUU